This 84-nucleotide ribosomal RNA is filed under the name Acinetobacter baumannii. The record is from RNAcentral. Lineage: Bacteria; Pseudomonadati; Pseudomonadota; Gammaproteobacteria; Moraxellales; Moraxellaceae.
GCUUACGGCCACACCACCCUCAACGCGCUCGAUCUCGUCCGAUCUCGGAGGCCAAGCAGGGUCGGGCCUGGUUAGUACUUGGAU